This 305-nucleotide unclassified non-coding RNA is filed under the name plant metagenome. RNAcentral's name for it is "partial contains 5.8S ribosomal RNA, internal transcribed spacer 2, and large subunit ribosomal RNA". The stretch from base 1 to 104 matches the Rfam family "5.8S ribosomal RNA", at positions 51 to 154 of the family's 154-position model. The record is from RNAcentral.
AAAUGCAAUAAGUAGUGUAAAUUAUAGAAUUUAGUAAAUCAUCAAAUCUUUAAACGCACAUUACGCCCCUUAGUAUUCUAUAGGGCAUACCUAUUCGAGCGUCAUCUACACCCUUAAGCUCUGCUUAGUGUUGGGCGUCUAUCCCGCCUUUGCGCGUGGACUCGCCCUAAAUGCAUUGGCAGCGGUCCUUGCCCCCUCCCGCGCAGCACAUUACGCUUCUCGAGGCUGCGGCGGCCCGCGUCUAAUAAGCUAAACCCCCCUGUCUUUGACCUCGGAUUAGAUAGGGAUACCCGCUAAACUUAAGC